Molecule: ribosomal RNA, 819 nt
Filed under: Testudacarus oblongatus
Lineage: Eukaryota; Metazoa; Arthropoda; Arachnida; Trombidiformes; Torrenticolidae
Description: eukaryotic LSU rRNA
Rfam family: Eukaryotic large subunit ribosomal RNA
Source: RNAcentral
CCGAGAGUUCAAGAGUACGUGAAACCGCUUGCAAGUAAACAGAUGGACCCACGAAGUCCUGUUGAACAAGAGAUUCACAUAUUUGGAAAGGCGAAAUUUGCAAAUUUUUUCUUUAUUGAAAUAUUUGUAUUUUUGUAGUCGAUCGAAAGAUGCAUUUCUCUUGUUCACGCUGGAGCUCUGACUGCUCAUUUGUCUUUAACUGCUUAGGGCUGCUUUUAUUUGUGGUUGAAUUUUCGGAUUCAUUUCACAUUUAUUGGCGAGUAAGUGAAGACAUAACGAGCAGUUGAAUUACUUACAAUUGUAAGUGUAUUCAGGUCAUGGAUGUAACUGGAGUGUCAAAGAGUCAAUUGGUGAGAACUUUCGUCUCUUGUAGAUGAAAACCUUAUCACAUUAUUCUUUAAGUACAAUCUAAGUGCAUCAAUGAUGAUCCAGAGUAAGUAGGUCGGUCAUCCAUCUGACCCGUCUUGAAACACGGACCAAGGAGCCCAACAUUUGCGCGAGUCGCUCGGUCUUGAAUAGGCCUGAGAGGCGAAAUAAACAUAACGGUAUGAUCUUGUUUUAUCCUCGUGAUAAACAAGCGCAAUACCAACCUGCUUAAUUUGCCUUUUGACAAGUAAGCGGAGUUUGAGCGUAAAUGUUGGUACCCGAAAGAUGGUGAACUAUACUUGGGCAAGACGAAGCCAGAGGAAACUCUGGUGGAGGUCUGUAGCGAUUCUGACGUGCAAAUCGAUCGUCAGACCUGAGUAUAGGGGCGAAAGACUAAUCGAACCAUCUAGUAGCUGGUUCCCUCCGAAGUUUCCCUCAGGAUAGCUGGACUGG